AGAUAUAUGUGGUACAGGAUUAGAUACCCCAUUAAUGUAUUGUUUAAUUUUUCUUAGUUUUUUAACUAAAAUAGUUUGGCAGUGAGCGAUUCUUAUUAGGGGAAGGUGUGUUGUAAAGGAUGAUCCGCCUAUUAAUUUACUUUUAUUAUGUUGGUGUAUAUCUGGUUUAAUAUUAUUGUUUAAUAACUGAAUUUGUGUAUAUUUAUUUAAGCCAAGUCUAUGUGCUGCUUGUAAAAGAUUUCAUGCGUUACAUUUAUAGUUAUAAAUUAUGAGAAUUUAAUUUUUAAUUAGGACUUAAAAGUAAUAUAGAAUGAUUUUGUCUAUGUGAAAAAGGUUUAGCUCAGGUACACACCGCCCGUCACCCUCGGUUA
RNAcentral lists this ribosomal RNA (371 nucleotides) under Mesocestoides litteratus. RNAcentral describes it as "partial small subunit ribosomal RNA". Lineage: Eukaryota; Metazoa; Platyhelminthes; Cestoda; Cyclophyllidea; Mesocestoididae. The record is from RNAcentral.